RNAcentral lists this ribosomal RNA (229 nucleotides) under uncultured eukaryote. Its description in RNAcentral is "partial 18S ribosomal RNA". It matches the Rfam family "Eukaryotic small subunit ribosomal RNA", at positions 1208 to 1456 of the family's 1831-position model. The record is from RNAcentral.
GGGAAACUCACCAGGGCCAGACAUAGUAAGGAUGGACAGAUUGAUAGCUCUUUCUUGAUUUUAUGGGUGGUGGUGCAUGGCCGUUCUUAGUUGGUGGAGUGAUUUGUCUGGUUAAUUCCGUUAACGAACGAGACCUUAGCCUGCUAAAUAGCGACGUGUAUCUUCGGAUACUCGCGCGCUUCUUAGAGGGACUUUGCGAUUUCAAGAGCAAGGAAGUUUGAGGCAAUAA